UACAGAGGGUGCGAGCGUUAAUCGGAAUUACUGGGCGUAAAGCGUGCGUAGACGGUUAUUUAAGUCGGGUGUGAAAGCCCCGGGCUCAACCUGGGAAUUGCAUUCGAGACUGAAUAGCUAGGGUACGGUAGAGGGAAGCGGAAUUUCCGGUGUAGCGGUGAAAUGCGUAGAUAUCGGAAGGAACAUCAGUGGCGAAGGCGGCAACCUGGCUCGUAACUGACGCUCAUACACGACAGCAUGGGGAGCGAACGGG
Molecule: ribosomal RNA, 253 nt
Filed under: uncultured bacterium
Lineage: Bacteria
Description: partial 16S ribosomal RNA
Rfam family: Bacterial small subunit ribosomal RNA
Source: RNAcentral